AAUAGAUACCCGGGUAGUCCACGCCGUAAACGAUGAGUGCUAAGUGUUAGGGGGGUUCCACCCCUUAGUGCUGCAGCUAACGCAUUAAGCACUCCGCCUGGGGAGUACGGUCGCAAGACUGAAACUCAAAGGAAUUGACGGGGGCCCGCACAAGCGGUGGAGCAUGUGGUUUAAUUCGAAGCAACGCGAAGAACCUUACCAGGUCUUGGCAUCCCGCUGACCGCCAUGGAGACAUGGCCUUCCCUUCGGGGACAGCGGUGACAGGUGGUGCAUGGUUGUCGUCAGCUCGUGUCGUGAGAUGUUGGGUUAAGUCCCGCAACGAGCGCAACCCUUGUCCUUAGUUGCCAUCAUUCAGUUGGGCACUCUAAGGAGACUGCCGUACAAAUACGGAGGAAGGUGGGGAUGACGUCAAAUCAUCAUGCCCCUUAUGACCUGGGCUACACACGUGCUACAAUGGGUGGUACAGAGGGCGGCGAACCCGCGAGGGGGAGCGAAUCCCAAAAAGCCACUCUCAGUUCGGAUUGCAGGCUGCAACG
This 536-nucleotide ribosomal RNA is filed under the name uncultured bacterium. Its description in RNAcentral is "bacterial SSU rRNA". It matches the Rfam family "Bacterial small subunit ribosomal RNA", at positions 777 to 1312 of the family's 1533-position model. The record is from RNAcentral.